GAGCGCAACCCUUGUCCUAGUUACCAGCACGUUAUGGUGGGCGACUCUAAGGAGACUGCCGGUGGACAAACCGGAGGAAGUGGGGAUGACGUCAAGUCAUCAUGGCCCUUACGGCCUGGGCUACACACGUGCUACAAUGGUCGGUACAAAGGGUUGCCAAGCCGCGAGGUGGAGCUAAUCCCAUAAAACCGAUCGUAGUCCGGAUCGCAGUCUGCAACUCGACUGCGUGAAGUCGGAAUCGCUAGUAAUCGUGAAUCAGAAUGUCACGGUGAAUACGUUCCCGGGCCUU
This 289-nucleotide ribosomal RNA is filed under the name uncultured Pseudomonas sp. RNAcentral describes it as "partial 16S ribosomal RNA". It matches the Rfam family "Bacterial small subunit ribosomal RNA", at positions 1094 to 1382 of the family's 1533-position model. Lineage: Bacteria; Pseudomonadati; Pseudomonadota; Gammaproteobacteria; Pseudomonadales; Pseudomonadaceae. The record is from RNAcentral.